GCUGGGGCAAGAAGGGGGGUGUCUACUGGGGGGCAGCUGUGGCCGUUUGGAGGAUCGUAGCCCCUAUCAGAGAUGACUAGCUUUUUGUUUUUAGCGUGCAGGUGUGGGGGCCUUGGUCUGACAUCAGCGUGGCUGUUCCCUUCGACACCGUCCAGCACUGAGCGUGUCAGCGGUGACUUUGAGUGGGGGCUCGGGAACCUCAACCCCUCCCCUGGAUGAUGUAACACGACGCUGCCUCGCAUGAUGUAACACGACGCUGCCUCGCAUGAUGUAACACGACGCUGCCUCGCAUGAUGUAACACGACGCUGCCUCGCAUGAUGUAACACGACGCUACCUUGCAUGAUGUAACACGACGCUGCCUUGCAUGAUGUAACACGACGCCUUUAUAAAAUGACAUUCUUAAUGGA
This is a long non-coding RNA of Paramormyrops kingsleyae, 408 nucleotides long. RefSeq lists it as uncharacterized. The record is from RefSeq and is a predicted model, not a curated record. NCBI's taxonomy places the organism in Eukaryota, Metazoa, Chordata, Actinopteri, Osteoglossiformes, Mormyridae.